UUAAAAUAAAAUUAUUUUAGCAUGGACCACAGACAGCCCCAUAGCUGAAUCGAGGCUGUUUCACGGAAGAACUACACCUCCCAUGGUGCAUUGCAGCGGUAAACGGAACCACAUCCUGAGUUCAGAGUUCAGCGUCCUUCCAUGUGCGGCCAUUGUUAAUAUGAAAAUACCUUUGUCGUUACUUUUGCGUGUUUAUUUAUCUUCGUGUGUCGAACAUGUCAGUGAACGCAACAACGCACGAGCUGACCCUGCUGAUCUACCGCUAUUUGAAGGAGCAUGGUUUCCACUCAGCUGCAGAUGAGCUACAGAGGCACAGCCCACAGGAAGAGACAACAAUAUCUGCAUCAUUAUUGGACAUCUACACUUCAUGGUUAAAUGACUCAAAAAAGAAAAGGCAGCCGGGCUCAGCUAAGGCCACACCAAAGAAAAGGAAGGACAAACCUGCAAACAAAGCAGAGACACAAAAAAAGAAGAAUGUGCAAGCGAAAAGUAAAAGUGAAGGUAGAUCGAUAAAUGUCAUCAAGGCGAAGAAAUCAAAGACCCAAACAAAAGACAUAGUUGUGAAUGCUGGAGAAUCUGACUCUGACAGCAGUCUGGAUGAAGAUAAAUGGAGGAAACUGCUCCUACAGAUGACAGAGUCUGACAUGGCCAAGAUGGACACCAUCAACGCACUGGACUCUACACCUCCACCCAUAAAAAAGAGAGUGAGGAAACCCCGGGCCAAGCCUCCCGCAAAAACCAAAACUCCCAUUGAACAGAACACAGUUGGACAGAAUAAAAAGGUGGAGGAGAAAGCCAUGACAGAAACAUCAACAAAGAAUAGUAAACCCAAGAGGAGCAGGCCAAAAAAGACUGCACCUGUGACCUCCCCUGCCACCACGAGCCAAGAACAAAACAUCAAGGCUGUAGAAGACAGACCAGCGACAUCCACUCUCUCCCCGUCAAAACCGAAACCUAAGAAGGAGAAAGGGAAAGAUGUAAAUCCCAGAGAAGAAAAAACUGACGAGACAAUGUCUGAGCCCAAGAAGAAGAAGAAGAAAAAGAUGGCUGAAGACGAGGUGGGAGAGAAUACAAAUGUGGCUGGUGGAGAUCGAAAAGACGGUAAAGAAGAGAAAAAAGAUAACGUCACAGAGCAAGAAUUUGCUGAUAAACCUGCAAAGGAAAAGAAAAAGCCAAAAGAAACAAAGGGAGAUAUCAAAAUGAGCCAGCCUGAAGAAGAAAUCAUACAGAAGGAUAGUGAGUAUUUUGAUAAUGCAGGACUUUCAGAACUAAGAAAGAAAUCAAAGAAGAACAAUGAGAAAACUGAUAGUGGUGAAAAUUCAGAGCAGGUAGCUGAACACGUAAAAGAAAAUAAAGAGCAGCUAGUUGAAGAAAUUAAAAAGACAGCUGGUAGUGAGGAAAAAUCAGAGCAAAAAGUAAAAGAAGACGGAGAAUAUUCAGAGCAGAUACCUGAAGGAAAGAAGGCAAAGAAGAAGAGAAAGGAGAUUGCUAAUGGUGAGGAAAAUUCAGAGCACAGUGUUCACGAAAAAAAAGCAAAGAAGAAGAAAAGGGAGAAUCACAAUGAAGAAAAUUCAGAGCAGAUACCUAAAGCAAAGAAGAAGAAAAGGGAGAAUCACAAUGAAGAAAAUUCAGAGCAGAUACCUAAAGCAAAGAAGAAGAAAAGGGAGAAUCCUGAUGAAGAAAAUGCAGAGCAGAUAUUUAAAGAAAAGAAAAAGAAAAGAAAGCUCGAAGCUGAUCUUGACGAGGAGAUGACGGAGCCGGUAGUUGAAGAAAAUACAACCAUGACAAGGAAAUCACAGAGCACUGACACAGAGGAAACGCCAGAGCAGAUUACUGAAGUGAAGAAGAAAAAGAAGGACUCAUCGUUGAAAAAUAAUGACACAGAGCCACUUCUACCCAACCCCGAGACACCAAGUCCUCCAACAGAGAAGAAGAAAAAGAAAAUCAAGUUGAAAUCAGCUGAGGUCCCAGAAACACCUGCAGAUUCUGUCCAAGACGGCGAACCAACACAAACACCCUCAAGUGACACCACCCUCAAAAAGAAAAAGAAAUCCUCCAAGAGUCAUGAAGACGUUUGAUUCUUCAUCCCUGCAGAAGGAUGGCAACACAUCCUGUCCGUCUUAUUUCUAAUCAUAUUUUGAUAGUUACAAGAUCACUUAAAACUGUAAAGACAAAAUUAGUUUUCUAUUUUGGUACAUUUCUUAUCUGUUUUCUGUUUACCCACCGAGUGUGGCGUCCUAUGCUGUAUAUUGUUUAGUUGAAUCUGAUAUUGCCAUUUUAAUGGCAUGAAUAUGUAAAAGGGAUUUAUAACUGAUUGUUUCAUGGAAUGGAUGCUCCCUCAUUGAUUGAACAGAAACAUGUCUCUUAAGCACAUUUCCAUUCAGUCUCAGGUCAUUUUACACACACAUAUUAAUUUGUUCUAAAUAUAUACCGACUAGCUCAAUACUUGGGGAGAGAAAAAAAAAAUGCAUCACAACAUUUUUUUUUUAUUAAAAAAUAAUACAUGGGAAACUGUUUUAACAGCCUAUUUUGGUAUUGUGUUAAAUACCUAUGUUUGUGAAAAUCAUAUUUGUUUUUUAACAACAAUUUUAUAUAUUUGGUAAAGCUUUUAUAUAUGCAUUGUACAUUAUGCCUUUAAUACAAAUUAAACUCCAGGUUUCUUUUUAAAUG
This 2670-nucleotide long non-coding RNA is filed under the name Cottoperca gobio. RNAcentral describes it as "lncRNA (ENSCGOG00000005142.1)". Lineage: Eukaryota; Metazoa; Chordata; Actinopteri; Perciformes; Bovichtidae. The record is from RNAcentral.